GCCUUAAUUGGGUUGGUUUAGGAGUCCUUAAGCUAUCCUAAUUGAGUUUUUAGCCUAUAAAUAGGCCUGUGCGUGAACAGAGAGGGGUGCGGUGGUUUUGGCUUGGUUUUUUCAUGAGAGAGGACCCGUGAUCUCGCAUGGGCAGAAAAUCGAGAAAACCCAUAGAGAGAAAGGGAGCAGACGCUGUAAGCUGAGAGAGAAAGAGCAAGGCUCC
Molecule: long non-coding RNA, 214 nt
Filed under: Elaeis guineensis (African oil palm)
Lineage: Eukaryota; Viridiplantae; Streptophyta; Magnoliopsida; Arecales; Arecaceae
Description: long non-coding RNA (EGUI_LNC023554)
Source: RNAcentral